Molecule: ribosomal RNA, 501 nt
Filed under: uncultured bacterium
Lineage: Bacteria
Description: bacterial SSU rRNA
Rfam family: Bacterial small subunit ribosomal RNA
Source: RNAcentral
UCAGGAUGAACGCUAGCUACAGGCUUAACACAUGCAAGUCGAGGGGCAGCAUUGGAGUAGCAAUACUCAGAUGGCGACCGGCGCACGGGUGAGUAACACGUAUCCAACCUGCCGCUUACUCGGGGAUAGCCUUUCGAAAGAAAGAUUAAUACCCGAUGGUAUAAAGAGUUCGCAUGUUCUCUUUAUUAAAGAAUUUCGGUAAGCGAUGGGGAUGCGUUCCAUUAGAUAGUUGGCGGGGUAACGGCCCACCAAGUCUACGAUGGAUAGGGGUUCUGAGAGGAAGGUCCCCCACAUUGGAACUGAGACACGGUCCAAACUCCUACGGGAGGCAGCAGUGAGGAAUAUUGGUCAAUGGGCGGGAGCCUGAACCAGCCAAGUCGCGUGAAGGAAGAAGGAUCUAUGGUUCGUAAACUUCUUUUGCAGGGGAAUAAAGUGCAGGACGUGUCCUGUUUUGUAUGUACCCUGAGAAUAAGGAUCGGCUAACUCCGUGCCAGCCGCGGC